CGCGGAGCACAGUAAGGGGCGUGUGCUUUUGCGUGGCUGGUGCUUUGUUGUCUUCAGUGCUUCAGCCCGGGUUACUUUUGUUGGUAAACUUCGCCCGUGAAGGGCGUCGGAAGACCCACAUUCCGAGUGUAGUCGCAAGUGUGGGCCCGCCGAAAGGAGAUGGGUCUUCGACCUAAUUUAGCCUGGGUCGAGCCCUUCUCAUCCCACGCUCUGUGGGGACCUGUGAUCGCCUGUCCGAUCCUUAUGUCGGGUCUUACAUCCCGGAUGUCCGUUCUAGAGAAGUGGGAAUGCCGUGCUGCUCAGGGAAUGAAGAGUUUCCUUUCCUUUCCUCAAAGUCAGCCUAAUUGAUGAUUCCGAAGUAGCUGGGCGAGCCCUGGAGCGCUGGUGUUCUUGCCCUGGAUGGCCUAAAUUCCUCCUGGCUAGGGCUUUGUAUUUCAACAAGAGCUCCUUUUCAAUAAAGGCUUUGGGAGCCCACUCUGACAGUACAAA
This is a long non-coding RNA of Myodes glareolus (Bank vole), 489 nucleotides long. RefSeq lists it as uncharacterized. The record is from RefSeq and is a predicted model, not a curated record. Lineage: Eukaryota; Metazoa; Chordata; Mammalia; Rodentia; Cricetidae.